This 253-nucleotide ribosomal RNA is filed under the name uncultured bacterium. RNAcentral's name for it is "partial 16S ribosomal RNA". It matches the Rfam family "Bacterial small subunit ribosomal RNA", at positions 524 to 776 of the family's 1533-position model. The record is from RNAcentral.
UACGAGAGGCCCAAACGUUAUUCGGAUUUACUGGGCUUAAAGAGUUCGUAGGCGGCGCGGAAAGUAGGGUGUGAAAGCCCUCGGCUCAACCGAGGAAUUGCGCUCUAAACUGUCGCGCUCGAGGAACCUAGAGGUGAGCAGAACUGAUGGUGGAGCGGUGAAAUGCGUUGAUAUCAUCAGGAAUACCGGAGGCGAAGGCGGCUCACUGGGGGUUAUCUGACGCUGAGGCACGAAAGCGUGGGGAGCAAACAGG